RNAcentral lists this ribosomal RNA (748 nucleotides) under uncultured deep-sea bacterium. Its description in RNAcentral is "bacterial SSU rRNA". It matches the Rfam family "Bacterial small subunit ribosomal RNA", at positions 64 to 783 of the family's 1533-position model. The record is from RNAcentral.
GAACGAGAAAGUCUAGCUUCGGUUAGACGAGUACAGUGGCGAAAGGGUGAGUAAUACGUAGACAACCUACCCCAGAGAGGGGGAUACCCUUUCUAACGGAAGGUUAAUACCGCAUAAGACCCCGGUGUCGCCUGGCACUGUGGUCAAAGGUGGGGAUCCUUCGGGACCUACCGCUUUGGGAGGGGUCUACGCCUUAUCAGGUUGUUGGCGGGGUAACGGCCCACCAAGCCUGUGACGAGUAGCCGGCCUGAGAGGGUGAUCGGCCACAUCGGGACUGAGACACUGCCCGGACUCCUACGGGAGGCUGCAGUUCGGAAUCAUUCGCAAUGGGCGCAAGCCUGACGAUGCGACGCCGCGUGGAGGAUUGAAGGCUUUCGGGUUGUAAACUCCUGUCACUGGUUAUGAAAUGUAGGCGGGCGAAUAGUCCGUUUGCUUGACAAAGGCCAGAGAGGAAGCACCGGCUAAUUCCGUGCCAGCAGCCGCGGUAAUACGGAAGGUGCAAGCGUUGUUCGGUGUUAUUGGGCAUAAAGGGCGCGUAGGCGGCUGAGUAUGUCAGAGGUGAAAUCCCCGAGCUCAACUCGGGAACUGCCUCUGAAACUGCUCGGCUUGAGGACCGGAGGGGGAAGUGGAACGUUGCAUGUAACGGUGAAAUGUGUAGAUAUGCAACGGAAGGCCGGUGGCGAAGGCGGCUUCCUGGACGGUACCUGACGCUGAGGCGCGAAAGCGUGGGGAGCGAACGGGAUUAGAU